UGCAAAAGUAAUUGCAGUUUUUG
Molecule: microRNA, 23 nt
Filed under: Homo sapiens (human)
Lineage: Eukaryota; Metazoa; Chordata; Mammalia; Primates; Hominidae
Description: hsa-miR-548x-5p
Gene: hsa-miR-548g-5p
Source: miRBase by way of RNAcentral